Molecule: ribosomal RNA, 438 nt
Filed under: uncultured Sebacinaceae
Lineage: Eukaryota; Fungi; Basidiomycota; Agaricomycetes; Sebacinales; Sebacinaceae
Description: eukaryotic LSU rRNA
Rfam family: 5.8S ribosomal RNA (bases 1-105)
Source: RNAcentral
GAAAUGCGAUAAGUAAUGUGAAUUACAGAAUUCAGUGAAUCAUCGAAUCUUUGAACGCACCUUGCACCCUUUGGUAUUCCGAAGGGUAUGCUCGUUUGAGUGUCAUUGUACUCUCACACUCUUCCUGUUUUGCGACGGGGGGAGCGGUGGACUUGGAUGUGUGCUGCUUGACCGCGGCUCAUCUGAAAUGCAUUAGUGCACCGUUGGGUUGGGCAUAGUACGGCGUGAUAAGUAUCUUCGCCGGCACCUCGCAAGAGGGUGUUCGAUCCUUCCGCUCUGCGCUCCAAACCGUCUCCGCGCGGGGACAAUAUCAUUUGACAACUUGACCUCAAAUCGAGUAGGACUACCCGCUGAACUUAAGCAUAUCAAUAAGCGGAGGAAAAGAAACUAACAAGGAUUCCCCUAGUAACCUGAGACUCCAAGGCACACAGGGGGAUA